CAGCCGCCGCGGUAAUACAGAGGGUGCAAGCGUUAAUCGGAAUUACUGGGCGUAAAGCGCGCGUAGGUGGUUCGCCAAGUUGGAUGUGAAAUCCCCGGGCUCAACCUGGGAACUGCAUCCAAAACUGGCGAGCUAGAGUAUGGUAGAGGGUGGUGGAAUUUCCUGUGUAGCGGUGAAAUGCGUAGAUAUAGGAAGGAACACCAGUGGCGAAGGCGACCACCUGGACUGAUACUGACACUGAGGUGCGAAAGCGUGGGGAGCAAACAGGAUUAGAUACCCCGGUAGUCCCUGUCUCUUAUAC
Molecule: ribosomal RNA, 301 nt
Filed under: uncultured bacterium
Lineage: Bacteria
Description: partial 16S ribosomal RNA
Rfam family: Bacterial small subunit ribosomal RNA
Source: RNAcentral